CCUACGGGAGGCAGCAGUGAGGAAUAUUGGUCAAUGGGCGCGAGCCUGAUCCAGCCAAGUAGCGUGAAGGAUGACUUCCCUACGGGUUUUAAACUUCUUUUAUAAAGGAAUAACGUGAGGCACGUUUGCCUUUUUGUCUGUACUUUCUGAAUAAGGAUCGGCUCACUCCGGGCAAGCAGCCGCGGUAAUACGGAGGAUCCUAGCGUUAUCCGGAUGUCUUGGGUUUAAAGGGAGCGUAGAUGGGUUGUUAAGUCAGUUGUGAAGUUUGCGGCUCAACCGUAAAAUUGCAAUUGAUACUGGCAGUCUGGAGUACAGGUGAGGUAGGCGGAAUUCGUGGUGUAGCGGUGAAAUGCUUAGAUAUCACGAAGAACUCCGAGUGCGAAGGCAGCCUACUAAACUGCCACUGACAUUGAUGCUCGAAAGUGUGGGUAUCAAACAGGAUUAGAUACCCCUGUAGUC
Molecule: ribosomal RNA, 459 nt
Filed under: uncultured bacterium
Lineage: Bacteria
Description: partial 16S ribosomal RNA
Rfam family: Bacterial small subunit ribosomal RNA
Source: RNAcentral